RNAcentral lists this long non-coding RNA (1080 nucleotides) under Prunus dulcis (almond). RNAcentral's name for it is "sRNA ncRNA". The record is from RNAcentral. Lineage: Eukaryota; Viridiplantae; Streptophyta; Magnoliopsida; Rosales; Rosaceae.
AUGAUUUCAAGAUCCUCAACUGGCACUUUGGUCAUUGAGCCACGGCUACCGAGCAAACCUGCCGUACCCUUUUUGAUUAUUAGUCAUACGGCCUGCAUCAAGAUUUCAUAUGUAUGUAUGCAUAUACAUUCAUGAUAUUACCAUGAAUUUAAGAUUUUCCAUUCAAUACCAUACGGUCUGAAAUUCGAUUUGCCUGAAAUUUUUGUCUCAGUUGGAGGUUCCUAAAUUUCAUCCAUGUUAUUGACUGGGGAUUAAGCCCUAGCUAGGUUAUUAUAUUGGCUAGGGUAUGGAAUAGAAUCAGAAGUUUUCUAGAAAGAGAGAGAGAUGGGGCAGUGAAAUGGACUUUUACCAGUGUGUUUUCACAGGAUGUUGCAGGAAAAACAACUUGCUGAGGGCUUUUUAUUUGUAUAAAUUUAAUGUCAUUCAACUACAUAUAUAACAUAUAUAUGGUCUUAAAUGAUGUGUACAUAAUUUACACUUAAUAUUGACAUAUUUCAUGAGAUUGGGUCCAAUUUUAUUUCUCAGAACUUCUUUCUAAUAAGGUGAUGAAACUGCUUGUGAGAUAUGGGAAGACUUUAAUUGAGAAUAUGGGAGUAAUGAAUUUGGACCAUUUGAAGAUUCUUUAUUAACCAAAAAUACAUAAAAAAAAUAAACAAUAUUUCUUAAGGAUCUGGUUUUCUGAGCUCGUUGCAUGUUACAGUAUAUAUCUUCCUUUUCAGCUUAAUUAUAGGGUUAUGAUGGCACAAACAUACUUGCUUCACAUUUCUGGUAUAUAUUGUUUCAAGUUCUUAUUUCCUCCCUAUAAAUAAAAUCUGAUGUAGAUGAAAAGAAAGUAGAAGUAGAAGACAUCUGAAAUUGAGUGUUGAAAUGAAACCAUGAUUUUAAUUUGGUCUCUGUGUAUUAAUUCUGUGGCAGUUGGGGGAUAAUGAGACAAGUUAUUUGUAUUCUGACAAUAAUAUUGGACCAGAUAAGUACAGCACAGGCAGUCAUUUAAAUGCUCACCUUCUCAAAUUGAGAAUAGAAUAUGAAGCCAUAUGGCUUGAAGUACCAGCUUCAGGCUUCAAAAGGACAAAUAUAUAA